This is a long non-coding RNA of Monodelphis domestica (gray short-tailed opossum), 2089 nucleotides long. The record is from Ensembl. Lineage: Eukaryota; Metazoa; Chordata; Mammalia; Didelphimorphia; Didelphidae.
GGCAACUUUAUUUCUCUGACUGUGUUAACAAAAAGGGAGAUUAAUCAGAUGAGUUUGUAGUUAAAAUCAGAAAAUCAAUAAAGUAUUCCAUCCAAAAUAAGCAUAGAUGAAGAAAUCAAUAAAAAUCAAAGGUGAAAUUUCCUUAAUUAAAAUUUUGAAAUGAAUUAUUAAAAUUAAGAGCUUUAAAAAUGGCUAAUAAAAUCCAUAUGCCAGUCACUAAAUAAAUUUUUUGUUGGGAGUCUGACCUUUUAGUGUGAAAUGCAAGGCUUAUGAAAUUAAAAUGCAAUUGUAAGGCCCAUACUAGGGCUUAUAUUCGUUAUUGACCAUUAAUGACCUGCCUGUAAUCAAAGCAGAACUUCUUACAAAAUAAGUAAACAAUAAACUUAUGAAAUUGUCAUUGACAGAAGGAUAAUUACUUAUUCUUCCACUUUGGAACAUUUGCUUGAGAAGACCUUGGCAAUGGCUCAGAAUAAUGUUUUCCUCUGGUGCCUUUCUCUUCCCAGUGACUCUAGAGGAUAAAAGAUAGCUUUUAACAGGUUUUCAUUUGCAAAGCAUCAGAAUUAAAUCAUACUGUUAGACCUGAGUUUGGAACUAGCUAGGCCAAGGUUUGGGAUUUCACACCAGAUGGUUCUAUAUAGAAAAAAAUUCUGGUUCAUAACUACAGACCGUAUUGUUACCCUGACUAAUCCUUAUAAAUAUAUACUUUUGGUUUAAAGGUGAGGAAAUAUGAAUGACUGAGCACAAAUUUAUCACUGUUGGGAAAAAAAAAAUCAAUUCACUUCAUAUUCUUGCAAAUGGCAGUGGAUCAUGGCCAGGCAUGAAGAGGAAAUGGAUCUCAGUUUUGGACAAGAAAUACAAGAAGUCAUUGCACAGGGCCAAAAGAAGCACAAAGCUAAACCUGAAUUGUGCCAAACGAGCAUACAGGUCAAAAAAAAAAAAGAAGAAACCAAUCCAGGAAGGAUUGAUGCACUUCCAAGCCAAUACAAAGGACUUGAACCUAGUGUGAAGACUUAAGAUUGCGAGGCUUAACAUACAUUAAGAUGUAGGCCUUCCUUGUAUCCACACUCUGAAAAUACUUACAGACGAGUUUCUCAAACUCUUACCUGGCUCCUAUAAUCUAGUCCCUUUUCUAUCUUUCAUAAUGUGGCAACUUUCUGUAGUACUAGCUGCUGACUGGGUAAAUGCUUACUUGCUUAAAUCACUUUAAGUGGGCCCUGAUUCAAGGACUUGUUAUAGAUUUAUUUUUCCUUUACUUAGAAUUUUUACACAUAAAACUUUGAUAGUCUAUAUUUUCAUCCAGAAAUUAUCUUUUUUUAUUUGGAUUUUUCUGAUAUCUUUUUAAUUUCUCUUGCCAACUGAUUCAUAUAACUCAUAACUCAGCCAUGCAUCCCUAAAUGAUCCCUGUGUUUUUCAAUCACCCUCUUCAAGGUAGGAAUGUAAAAAUAUUAUUAUUUUAAAUUGAAAAGUUUAAAUUUCUUUUGAGAAGAAUUUUAGGUUAAGAAACAUGAUACCUCUCCAAAUCCAGAAACUGAACUGUUUGGAGAAGACACCAUGAAGGUGCCUCCAGACCACAAGUUGCACGAGAAGAUCAAGAAUGAACUUUGGGUGUGGUUGAUUGAACAUUUAUUUGUAUGUAUACUUUCAUGGCUAAGGGGACUGCCCCCUAACUGUUUUUUUUUGUCAAUGUGUCUAGCAAUUAUUGGUUUUGUUCUUUUUUCCUCUUAUCCUCAAAUUAUUGUAAUCUUUAAGUUGAUUAUGUUUUCAUGAUCUUUUUGGGGAAACUGGUUUCCCAAUAAUGAUCAAAAGGGGGAAUAUAACAAUGGAGGUUUGAACCCCUGACUUCAAUUCCCAGAAGUCCUUGGUACUUCCCAGAAUUCCCUAUAAUCUCACCUGGGUCUCCAUCUGGGUGAGAACAGAAUUUAGUAUUUAAUGGGCUCUCUGCCUUCCAAGAGCCUCUUCCUGUACUCAGAGAUUGCAAGGAUAUAGUGAGUAAACUAAGCAUGGGAGUUCUGAAUUUUGCUAAAUCAGCCAUGGCAUGUGGCUUAUUAUUUUGUAUCCUUGAUUUCUAAUAAUCUUUAAUAAACCUCAU